RNAcentral lists this ribosomal RNA (492 nucleotides) under uncultured bacterium. Its description in RNAcentral is "partial 16S ribosomal RNA". It matches the Rfam family "Bacterial small subunit ribosomal RNA", at positions 28 to 507 of the family's 1533-position model. The record is from RNAcentral.
GAUGAACGCUAGCUACAGGCUUAACACAUGCAAGUCGAGGGGAAACGGCAUUAAGUGCUUGCACUUUUUGGACGUCGACCGGCGCACGGGUGAGUAACGCGUAUCCAACCUUCCCAUGACUAAGGGAUAACCUGCCGAAAGGCAGACUAAUACCUUAUGGUCUUCACUGACGGCAUCAGAUGUGAAGUAAAGAUUUAUCGGUUAUGGAUGGGGAUGCGUCUGAUUAGCUUGUUGGCGGGGUAACGGCCCACCAAGGCAACGAUCAGUAGGGGUUCUGAGAGGAAGGUCCCCCACAUUGGAACUGAGACACGGUCCAAACUCCUACGCGAGGCAGCAGUGAGGAAUAUUGGUCAAUGGGCGAGAGCCUGAACCAGCCAAGUAGCGUGCAGGAUGACGGCCCUAUGGGUUGUAAACUGCUUUUGUAUGGGGAUAAAGUCAAUCACGUGUGAUUGUUUGCAGGUACCAUACGAAUAAGGACCGGCUAAUUCCGUG